RNAcentral lists this long non-coding RNA (3440 nucleotides) under Homo sapiens (human). RNAcentral's name for it is "HSALNT0316551". The stretch from base 506 to 781 matches the Rfam family "SOX2 overlapping transcript exon 3". The record is from RNAcentral. Lineage: Eukaryota; Metazoa; Chordata; Mammalia; Primates; Hominidae.
GGGGUACAAGGAAGAACAGACCUAUGUGCAUUUUGUAGGAAGAAAACUGUGAAUGGAAAAAGGAGAAGGGGAGAGAAACGGGGGAAAUCUGGAUAAUACAUUAAAGUAACCAUAAUUUUGGAGAUGCAUUCAUCUUAUUGAAAAUAUAUUUCCUCAUGGUUGUGAUUCCUCUUCACUCUUUUGAAUUUGGAAGGAUGGCAUACACAUCUGAAAAAUACCACUACUUCCUUCAUUGGACUGCAAGGUAUUUCUGUUUGGAAAAGUAAUGGAGUCCAGUCAACUUCAUUGAUCGCCAAGGACUGUCAAAAUUAUAAAACUUGCUGUGGAGCUCUGACAUGCCAGAAGCCGCUAGAAAAAGAAGUUUGACAUUCAGAAACUUAUCAAGAGGUUCUACUCUUUGGAUAGAGACCAAAAUCAUACUUUGAAAAAGCCUGACAGGUUUCUUCGGAAAAGUGGCCAUCCAUGGAAUGAAUGAAAUGUUCUCUUUCUAUUCCAGGGAUUGCAGUGGCAAAGCUAGGCUAGGUCUUGGAGGCUGGUGUAAGGCGAUGUGGGUGAAGGCAGGAGGCUGAUGGAAAGACUGGGGGGAAGAAAAGCCGAAAUGGAUUCACGGUGCCUUGGAUGAAGGACGAGAGGGGAACUGCAAGCUCCUUCAACUGGUUCUGUCCGGUGAGAAGUGAUCAAGCUUGGGCUGACAAGAGGCUCAGGGAGCCCUCACGUUCUUUCGCUUUUUUACCUGCCAAUCAAACUGCUACAAGACAACACCCUGAUCUGGCAUGGACAUAUCCAACUUAGAAAUAAUGUUUCAUUCAAGAUAAGGCUCGUGGCUUAGGAGAUUGUGACCUGGCUUGCAUCAUUCUAAGACUUCUAUCGUCUGUUUUCAAAACCCAAGGAGGACCUCCUUUUCUGUGUGAUAGUUCCUCAUGCUUUGCCAGCCACUGGGUCUUUAAGGAAGCUUGCCAAGAGUUCCCGGCUGGGAAGGACAGUUCGAGUUCAUCAUAGACAAUGAGCUGGCACCACAGUUUAAGUGACUCACCAACCUGGUUGCCCACUUCAAAAUGUCAAGAACCACACUAUCUAAUUGAAAGAACUGUGUUUUAGCAAAGUGUAAUUGGAUCGCCUGGCAAGAUCAUCUCAAACUAUGUCUCUGACCUUGCCUUUCAGUGGCUAUUUUGAGCACAAGAGGAGAAAGGAAAUGAUUCCUGAAUUAUAUCUUGUUUUUAAAAAUUAAGAUUAAUUAAUACUUGGUUUUAUGUUCAUUCCAUUGUAGGAACUUAGUGAUUAUUACAAAACAGUCAAAAUAGGUCAUAGCAAAAUGAACGUUUAAGAUUAGGUUAAAACAUUCCUCUGAAAUUUUAGUAUUCACUUUUGAAGUGUCAAUUACUAUAUUUCUGUAAUUUCUCAUUUUUUUCUUGGCUUAGAGUCAAGAUGAAAAAUGAUAUUUGAAUCAAAGACAUUGUUUUGUUAUAUAGCCACUCCUUUCUAAAAUGCAAAUCCACCCUCCCCUCACCAAUGCUUUAUUCUUUGUGCGCGCACACACACACACACACACACACACACACACACACACACACAGACAUACACAGAACCAGCACCCAAAUGGUAGAGGAGGUCCUUCCAAGACUUCUAGGACCUGGAUCAUGUAAGCAGUAGAUGAGAAAAUGAAGUAAGAGAUAUAGAGUAAUAACAAUAAAAGUCAAUGAUUUCAUUUUACAAAAAAGUCAUUGUGUAGUACUCAGAUAUUUUUAAGAGCAAGUAUUAUUAUGACUAAAGUAUAUUAUACUUCUAAAUUAUUAUGAUUCUCAUCUAAUUUCAAGCCACACAUAGGCGCCAUUUGAAAGCAUUUUGUGUUACAACCUAUCAACAAAAAUCAACUAAUAGUUUUAUAACGUGCAUAGGUUUACCCCAUGGGGAAUUAAAAUUUUUAUCUGCAAGUAUUUCUGUUGUUGUGAGACUUUAGGACAAGACAACAUUUGGUGUUAACAUAGAAGAAUAUUCUAUGGCUUUUUUAGCUUUAAAGUUCAUUACUCUAAAAUAAAGUACACGUGGUAUUUUUUUCUUCCUAGUGUUCUCUUAUUAUAUGUAGAGUAUUUUCGGUUGUUGUUUUUAACGUAUACAUUAUUUUUAUUAAGUCAUUUCAUAAAAGAUAAGAUAUAUACUAAUAGACCCUUGGUUUUCUCCUAAUUUAAUUAUUUCAAGUCAAGCAAAAUUGGGCAAUUUUCUUUCAGGAAAAAAAAAAUAUUGAGCAUGAUUUUGAGGUAAAACUGAUUAUUUACAGCAUCUUUUCUCUAAUAGGCUAACAUUUAUGAUGGAUCUUAUUUCAAAGUUGAUUAUUCUCAAAGAAAAGUGGAGAUAUUAGAAUUUCCGAGUAAAUUGCAUUGUUUUAAAAAGUACUUUAAUGCAUUGUUCACAUUGUUGCCAGCUAUUGACCAAAAAAGAGAAGAAGAAAAAAGAAAUAAAAAAAGCAGUAUCUGCUCCAAACGUCAAGUUUUGCAGUUUGAAAGACUUGUACAUUAUAAUUGUUUUUUUCUUUUUUGGAAAGCAGUAGUAAUUAAUACCAAAGGCAUAGACAAUUUAGGGCCAUAACCUCCCUUCCCCCCUCUCCACCUUUUUUUUUUUUUUUUUUUUUUUUUAACUUUAACCAUGAUAGGCAUCUCUGCAAGGUAGGUUUUAACAUAUUUUUUUCCUAAUUUUUUUCCCUCCAUUCAGUAAGAAGGAUAAGCUUUUAGAGUACCCAGUCACCGUGGUAACUGCCAAAAAAAUUCUCCUGAAGUUUGAAGAGGUCAGCUAGCAGGGUCAACAACCCUGGCCUCUCUCUGAGCUCGGUCUAGCAUGCCCCAGCCUGCGGUUGGAGUGUCAGGCCAGAUCUGACCCUGGGAGGUGGACCAUUCUGGCUCUGAUAUAAAUUUUUCGAGUCAGUUCAUGGCCUGGACUCUCCAGGUGGCCUCCAAAAUCGAUUUUGACCCCCUGACCCUGUCUCACGGAGGCAUAGCAUCCACCCUAAGUAAGGAUUUAGCCAGGAAUGACAGCUUUCCACUGAGUGUUAUUGGGGACAGUAUAAACAGUUUGGAAAGCAAGUAAGGAGGUGUGAGGGCUAGCAAUCAUUAAAAGCACAUUAAAAAACAAUUUUUAAAAAUCUUUAUUAGAGAAAGUUGUAAAUGCAUAUCUGUUACAGAAUUCCUGUGAUUUGUAGAGUUUUCUAGUCAGUUUUGAAUAUAAAUAGGUCACAUAUCUUUAUCUUUUUGCAUACUUUGUUACAAAUAUGCAAAUAAGAUAGGCAUACUUGCUACAAAAUAGGUACAGCAGGAAUGUAAUAUGUUCAGAAAAGGCAAACUGGUUAUUAAAACACAUUAACAGGUAAGGAGUUUCUAAUAUUUUAAAUACUAAAAUUUUACAUGUGUAUUUUGAAGUUUUUAAAAUGGAAAAAUAAAGAACCUUUAAAA